UAGCUCAGUUGGUUAGAGCACCACCUUGACAUGGUGGGGGUCACUGGUUCGAGUCC
This 56-nucleotide transfer RNA is filed under the name Mannheimia haemolytica. RNAcentral's name for it is "tRNA-Val". It matches the Rfam family "tRNA", at positions 8 to 60 of the family's 71-position model. Rfam says of the family: Transfer RNA (tRNA) molecules are approximately 80 nucleotides in length. Their secondary structure includes four short double-helical elements and three loops (D, anti-codon, and T loops). The record is from RNAcentral. Lineage: Bacteria; Pseudomonadati; Pseudomonadota; Gammaproteobacteria; Pasteurellales; Pasteurellaceae.